This 403-nucleotide ribosomal RNA is filed under the name uncultured bacterium. RNAcentral describes it as "partial 16S ribosomal RNA". It matches the Rfam family "Bacterial small subunit ribosomal RNA", at positions 28 to 526 of the family's 1533-position model. The record is from RNAcentral.
GACGAACGCUGGCGGCGUGCCUAAUACAUGCAAGUCGAACGCAGUGGGGACGGGUGAGUAACACGUGGGUAACCUCCCAUCAGAGGGGAUAACACUUGGAAACAGGUGCUAAACCGAUACUGAUGGAUGGACCCGCGGUGCAUUGGCUAGUAGGUGGGGUAAAGGCUCACCUAGGCGACGAACUCUAGAUGUUUGGAGAGGAUGAUCAGCCACACUGGGAUGGAGACAUGGCCCAGACUCCUACGGGAGGCAGCAGUGGGGAAUAUUGCACAAUGGGAGCAAGCCUGAUGCAGCCAUGCCGCGUGUAUGAAGAAGGCCUUAGGGUUGUAAAGUACUUUCAGCGGGGAGGCGUUACCCGCAGAAGAAGCACCGGCUAACUCCGUGCCAGCAGCCACGGUAAUAC